Non-coding RNA from Pelobates cultripes (western spadefoot toad), 300 nucleotides. Lineage: Eukaryota; Metazoa; Chordata; Amphibia; Anura; Pelobatidae. The record is from the annotation of a GenBank genome assembly.
CUGGUUUAACCCUAGAGUGAUGAAUCCACAGAGUCACUUCUGCCACCUUUACAGCUGUUGUGGUAGAUAAAAGAACAACAUACGAAGGCUAACAGGAUGCACCCCAAGCUUUAACUCAAUAUGUAUCGGUGUGAUAUUACGAGCAAGUCCUGGAGGAUUAUUCUGUGCCCAUACUCCUGGAAUGUCAAAUAAAGAUCCAUCACUCUUAGGGUUUGCAUUUGUUAUUACAGAGUACAAGCUCCAUUCUUCUUCUUUUGGUACCAAUACUGCUAUCAUGCCUGGUGAUUUAUUAAACUUCAG